This 646-nucleotide ribosomal RNA is filed under the name uncultured archaeon. RNAcentral's name for it is "bacterial SSU rRNA". It matches the Rfam family "Archaeal small subunit ribosomal RNA", at positions 100 to 743 of the family's 1478-position model. The record is from RNAcentral.
GUGGACAAACUACGCUAUGGACGGGGACAACCUCGGGAAACUGACGCUAAUCCCACGAUACAGGACCCAUGUUGGAACGCAGAAUACUCUAAACGCACUGGCACCAUAGGAUGCGGCUGCAGCCGAUUAGGUAGAUGGUGGGGUAACGGCCCACCAUGCCAAUAAUCGGUACGGGUCAUGAGAGCGAGAACCCGGAGACGGUAUCUGAGACAAGAUACCGGGCCCUACGGGGCGCAGCAGGCGCGAAACCUUUACACUGCACGACAGUGCGAUAAGGGGACUCCAAGUGCGAGGGCAUAUAGCCCUCGCUUUUCUGUACCGUAAGGAAGUACAGGAACAAGUGCUGGGCAAGACCGGUGCCAGCCGCCGCGGUAAUACCGGCAGCACGAGUGAUGGCCGAUAUUAUUGGGCCUAAAGCGUCCGUAGCCGGCCGAACAAGUCCGUUGGGAAAUCGACGCGCUCAACGCGUCGGCGUCCAGCGGAAACUGUUCGGCUUGGGGCCGGAAGACCUGAGGGGUACGUCCGGGGUAGGAGUGAAAUCCUGUAAUCCUGGACGGACCACCAAUGGGGAAACCACCUCAGGAGAACCGGACCCGACGGUGAGGGACGAAAGCUAGGGUCUCGAACCGGAUUAGAUACCCGGGUA